RNAcentral lists this unclassified non-coding RNA (281 nucleotides) under fungal sp. Its description in RNAcentral is "partial internal transcribed spacer region". The stretch from base 1 to 46 matches the Rfam family "Eukaryotic small subunit ribosomal RNA", at positions 1786 to 1831 of the family's 1831-position model. The record is from RNAcentral. Lineage: Eukaryota; Fungi.
AAGUCGUAACAAGGUUUCCGUAGGUGAACCUGCGGAAGGAUCAUUAUCACGUAUCCACGUAUAAACCAUUGUGAACCGUUCUAUUAACCUCCAUAACGAGUCUUUUUCUGCGCAAGUGUUGAUUCACCUGAACAGAUCACCUCUUUGUGGAGCGUAUUCAACCUAUUAACCAUUUUAACCAAUCUUUAUAACUUUAUGAACUAACUUUAUUUUAUACUCCUCGGAGAUAAAAUUCAUUACGAAACAAAGAACAACUCUUAGCAACGGAUAUCUUGGUUCUC